Molecule: non-coding RNA, 253 nt
Filed under: uncultured bacterium
Lineage: Bacteria
Also listed under: 1 other name
Description: partial 16S ribosomal RNA
Rfam family: Bacterial small subunit ribosomal RNA
Source: RNAcentral
UACGAAGGGGGCUAGCGUUGCUCGGAUUGACUGGGCGUAAAGGGCGCGUAGGCGGUUUGUACAGUCAGACGUGAAAUUCCUGGGCUCAACCUGGGGGCUGCGUUUGAUACGUGCGAGCUUGAGUUCGGAAGAGGGUCGUGGAAUUCCCAGUGUAGAGGUGAAAUUCGUAGAUAUUGGGAAGAACACCGGUGGCGAAGGCGGCGACCUGGUCCGAUACUGACGCUGAGGCGCGAAAGCGUGGGGAGCAAACAGG